AUUUUUCUUUUUUUAUUUUCCUCAUACUCAUUUUAUAUCCAAACAUGGCGUUAAAGUAAAAAAGAAAACCUGUAGGAAAAGUAGAUGCUUCGCCGCCGCCUGUUACAUUUAUCCAAUCUAAUGAAUGAAUCCAACAGGUUUACAAAGUAGCGAUCUUCCAGAUGGCCUCACGGAACACUGAUUGUUCUUUAUCCUGCAGAAAGCUUAGCAGCUAAUAUUUUAGCUUUUGUUCAAAAGCUCAAGACGGGGUCCACCACAACUCCGAGGUUAUCCUGAGAAAAAAAAUUUUUAAAAAAAUCUAAAUAUCUUAUUUAUCAGCCGAUAAUUUGCCCCUUUCUUGGUUCCAACCGAGCAUGAUUAGAAGAGCACUAAAACGACAUACACCUGCCUGAAAAAAUAUGACUGAAUAUAAGCGUCUAUAGAGAAUGCCAGAGUUCGUGCCAGUCCCCUUCAGCAUGUAGGGCAGGGCUUUUUAACAUUGACGACUCGAUUGAGUGCUUUUUGCCAACCUUCCCCAACUUUACCUUAAUUUAACCCACCAGAAGAUAUUUUCUCUUAAUGCAACUUGCUAGUUUGUGUGCCAAGCUCUCGUUUCAAUUAAAAAGAGCAACUGUCAGACUACAGUACAGUCUCUAAUAUAAUCCUGCCUACUCUAGGUAUGAUAUAUGCAAAUGUAAAUCCCCAGUAUACCAGAAAUCAAGUAGUUCUGCAGAGCUUUAUACAAAAAACGUGCGCUCAUUCCUCAUCCGCCACUCGUACUAAAACUAAACAAAAGAGCAAUGCAAUCAUACAAUUUCCAAAAGCAUGUCAUCUCUUUUACCCUGGCUGAAGAUUGAACUGAUCAUUACCAUAAAAAACUGUUGAUAAUGGGUAGUCAAGUUUAUGAGAUCAAACUAAUUACUCCAAAGAUUUCCAUUUGUUUAAUCAAACUCCUCUUCAUCGUCAGUGCCACCACCAAACAUGGCAGCCAUUUUCAUGGCCAGUUCGGCAGCCAUUUCUCUCCUUUGGAAAUCAGGCAUAAACCUCAUGUUGUCACGCAUAUUUCCAAUCUCA
Molecule: unclassified non-coding RNA, 1053 nt
Filed under: Hevea brasiliensis (rubber tree)
Lineage: Eukaryota; Viridiplantae; Streptophyta; Magnoliopsida; Malpighiales; Euphorbiaceae
Source: RNAcentral